Molecule: long non-coding RNA, 783 nt
Filed under: Numida meleagris (helmeted guineafowl)
Lineage: Eukaryota; Metazoa; Chordata; Aves; Galliformes; Numididae
Description: lncRNA (ENSNMEG00000016638.1)
Source: RNAcentral
UUUUCUUCUCUUUGUCCCUGAUUUCAAAAUCCAGGGAGGAAACAAGUGAAAAGUUUGCUUUGCAGUCGAUGUGCCACAAUAUAUGAGUUUUCAUCAAAAACUUCAAAUAUUUUCAGGUAGAGUUAUCUCUAGACACUCAGAAGCAAUUAACAUUGUCUGCUUUAUAAAACGCAUUCUGCCCAUGCCUGUUUGUCAUGCAACUGUAUAAAUAUUAUUUUCAGGGUUUCUGCUAAAGCUGUGAUUGCUCAUCCCGGAGUCACUGGACUGACUCGGCAAGCACAGCUCUAUGUUGCAAGGCUGCCUACAACCCAGGAACUCAUUGCACAAAUAUGGCCAAGUACGCCUCUGCAGCAAAACGACGAUAUGAUUUUCACCAGAGCAGCCAUAGCAGUGGGACUGUGGCUGUGGGUCGUGGCCUAUGGACUCACACAGGAUGGAGCCGUGCAGGCUGCAGGUUGAACAUCAGAAGAACAGAAUUGUGACAGCAACAAGAGGGGGACUUGCCAUCUUCAAAUGAUGCUUUACAGCCCUAACAGCCAAGAUGAGAAACUGAGGCGCAGAUUUUCCCUGAUACCUAACUCUUCCAGAUUGCAUGGCUUGGAAAUAACAUUGAGCAUCAGUUCAAGAUCACAGCCAUUUGGAGGACAAAGCAGGGAUUUCCCAGGCCGUGAUUCAGCACAGCUUCGUUCCAGCAUGAUGGAAUUCAUGGGUGAGGCUGAGAACGCAGACAGACACAGAACGCACCGCAGAGGUGCUGUGAAUCUUUCUUCAUUUCUUGGCUGA